Molecule: ribosomal RNA, 441 nt
Filed under: uncultured bacterium
Lineage: Bacteria
Description: partial 16S ribosomal RNA
Rfam family: Bacterial small subunit ribosomal RNA
Source: RNAcentral
CCUACGGGAGGCAGCAGUGGGGGAUAUUGCACAAUGGGGGGAACCCUGAUGCAGCGACGCCGCGUGGGUGAAGGAGUGCUUCGGCAUGUAAAGCCCUAUCGGCAGGGAAGAAGCAAGACGGUACCUGACUAAGAAGCCCCGGCUAACUACGUGCCAGCAGCCGCGGUAAAACGUAGGGGGCGAGCGUGAUCCGGAUUCACUGGGGGUAAAGGGAGCGUAGAGGGUCAUGCAAGCGAGGGGUCAAAGCCCGGGGCCCAACCCCCGUACUGGCCUUGGAACGGGGCGGCUAGAGGGAGGGAGGGGCAGGCGGAAUUCGUGGUGUAGCGGUGAAAGGCGUAGAUAUCAGGAGGAACACCGGCGGCGAAGGCGGCCUGCUGGACUGCGACUGACGUUGAGGCUCGAAAGCGUGGGGAGCGAACAGGAUUAGAUACCCUUGUAGUC